CCUACGGGAGGCAGCAGUGGGGAAUUUUGGACAAUGGGGGCAACCCUGAUCCAGCAAUGCCGCGUGAGUGAAGAAGGCCUUCGGGUUGUAAAGCUCUUUUGUCAGGGAAGAAAAGGGUCUGGCUAAUAUCCAGAUCUGCUGACGGUACCUGAAGAAUAAGCACCGGCUAACUACGUGCCAGCAGCCGCGGUAAUACGUAGGGUGCAAGCGUUAAUCGGAAUUACUGGGCGUAAAGCGUGCGCAGGCGGUUUCGUAAGUCUGUCGUGAAAUCCCCGGGCUUAACCUGGGAAUGGCGAUGGAGACUGCGAGGCUAGAGUUUGGCAGAGGGGGGUAGAAUUCCACGUGUAGCAGUGAAAUGCGUAGAGAUGUGGAGGAACACCGAUGGCGAAGGCAGCCCCCUGGGUCAAAGCUGACGCUCAUGCACGAAAGCGUGGGGAGCAAACAGGAUUAGAUACCCUGGUAGUCCACGCCCUAAACGAUGUCUACUAGUUGUNGGGUCUUAAUUGACUUAGUAACGCAGCUAACGCGUGAAGUAGACCGCCUGGGGAGUACGGUCGCAAGAUUAAAACUUAAAGGAAUUGACGG
This 585-nucleotide ribosomal RNA is filed under the name uncultured Duganella sp. RNAcentral describes it as "bacterial SSU rRNA". It matches the Rfam family "Bacterial small subunit ribosomal RNA", at positions 338 to 916 of the family's 1533-position model. Lineage: Bacteria; Pseudomonadati; Pseudomonadota; Betaproteobacteria; Burkholderiales; Oxalobacteraceae. The record is from RNAcentral.